GACGAACGCUGGCGGCGUGCUUAACACAUGCAAGUCGAGCGAUGAAGUUUUUUCGGAAAUGGAUCAGCGGCGAACGGGUGAGGAACACGUGAAGAAUCUGCCCUCCACUUUGGGAUAACACAGGGAAACCUGUGCUAAUACCGAAUAUUGAAACAUAAGUGGCAUCACUGAGUUUUGAAAGAAUUUCGGUGGAGGAUGACUUCGCGGCCUAUCAGCUAGUUGGUGAGGUAAUGGCUCACCAAGGCAACGACGGGUAGCCGGCCUGAGAGGGCGACCGGCCACACUGGGACUGAGACACGGCCCAGACUCCUACGGGGGGCAGCAGUGGGGAAUAUUGGGCAAUGGAGGAAACUCUGACCCAGCGACGCCGCGUGCGGGAUGAAGGCCUUCGGGUUGUAAACCGCUUUCAGUAGGGAAGAAGCGAAAGUGACGGUACCUACAAAAGAAGCACCGGCUAACUAUGUGCCAGCAGCCGCGGUAA
This 481-nucleotide ribosomal RNA is filed under the name uncultured bacterium. RNAcentral describes it as "partial 16S ribosomal RNA". It matches the Rfam family "Bacterial small subunit ribosomal RNA", at positions 28 to 523 of the family's 1533-position model. The record is from RNAcentral.